RNAcentral lists this ribosomal RNA (253 nucleotides) under uncultured bacterium. Its description in RNAcentral is "partial 16S ribosomal RNA". It matches the Rfam family "Bacterial small subunit ribosomal RNA", at positions 524 to 776 of the family's 1533-position model. The record is from RNAcentral.
UACGUAGGGGGCAAGCGUUGUUCGGAAUUACUGGGCGUAAAGCGUACGCAGGCGGCUAUGCAAGACAGGUGUGAAAUCCCCGGGCUUAACCUGGGAACUGCAUUUGUGAUUGCAUAGCUAGAGUUUGUCAGAGGGGGGUGGAAUUCCACGUGUAGCAGUGAAAUGCGUAGAGAUGUGGAGGAACACCGAUGGCGAAGGCAGCCCCCUGGGACCUGACUGACGCUCAUGUACGAAAGCGUGGGGAGCAAACAGG